RNAcentral lists this long non-coding RNA (1418 nucleotides) under Solanum tuberosum (potato). RNAcentral's name for it is "long non-coding RNA (STUB_LNC008757)". The record is from RNAcentral. Lineage: Eukaryota; Viridiplantae; Streptophyta; Magnoliopsida; Solanales; Solanaceae.
UUAUAUUAACUUGUUAUUAGUGUGCCAAUUCGUGAUUGGUUAUUCGCUUCUGUUUUGGUGUAAUCUACGUGUUUUAUUAUGUGUAUUAGUGAUUAUAUAUUGGUAGAUUAUUUGGUGAAAGUGAAGGUAUAUUUUUGGCCUAACCCAUCGGUGGCCUCUUAAACUUGGCACGAAGUUUCACUUAGGCACCGCAAGUGGGCGAUGUUCAUUUUAGACACCUCAUGUAGGGUCUCGCUAUGUCAUUUUGACACUUUUUGCUGACUAAGCACAGUACGUGUUCUACACGAAUUUUGAGCGCGUCAGAGACUUUUUUUGUAAAUAUUCUGAAUUUUUUUGUAAAUAUUUUAUUCUCCUUCUUCUUCCUUGCUUUCUCCCUUCCAUCUUCCCCACCUUCUACCAUCCUCCAUCACCACACAACUUUUUAAAAAAAUUCUACAAUAUUUUACUAGGUUACACUCUUUGAUUCUUCCAUCUUCUUUGAAAAUCGAAUUUGCAUCUUGAUUCAUAUUCAAAAACAAAAUCGAUUUCAAAGGAACAAAAAAAGAAAUCAACUUCUUUCAAAUGGAAAAACUGAUUUACAUUCUUACCUUCUCCAUUGAAAAUUAAAUUGAUUUCAAGGAAUAAAAAAGAAAUAAAGAACAACCUCCAAUGAAAAAAAAAGAAAUUUAUUUUACAUAUCCUUCAUUGUAAAUCCCAAUCGUAGUAGCACAAGAAAUCAUCUUCUUUUAAAUGUCAUAUAAAAACUUUUCGAUUUGGUAUGAUUUCCCUUAUUCUCCAAAACGUAUUUUACUUUGUAAACUAACCUAUGUUCUUGCCUUUUUGAUGGAGAAGAACAGAUGAAGGGGAAGGAGGNNNNNNNNNNNNNNAAUAAAAUUUCCACGUGUCACAUACCAAUUCAGUUAUUUUUCCACAUCAGAGGCAUCUGGAUGUACGCACUUAAAAUGCGGUUUUGAAAAUAUAAAAAGUGUCAAAAUGACACAAUGAGGUUUGACAUGAGGUGCUUAAAAUGAACAAAGCCUAGUUAAAGUGUCCAAGUGAAAGUUGGUGCCAAGUUUAGGGGGUCAUCGAUGAGUUAGCCCUAUAUUUUAAGUCAUGUAUUGAAUAUUUUUUGGUAGUGAUUAGGUGUAAUUAGAUUUUUGUAGUAAGUUUUUAAUGAAUACCAACAUUCUUUAUUUAUUUGGUAAAUUUUGAUGGUGUAAUAGAUGUAUUUUUUGGUACAUAUAUUGAAGUAGUUGUUAUUUUUUAGGUCUUUUUAAAACACCAUAAAGUUGAGUUUGACGAUCUGUUAUGAAUAGUGUUUUGGUAGAUUAUUUGGUCAAAUUGAUAGUUUAUUUGUUGUAAAUGAUAUAGUGUAAUCAAUAUUGUAUAUUAGGUUUUAAAUUAUCUAUAUUUAUUUCAUAUGGUGUUACAUAUAAUCA